RNAcentral lists this transfer RNA (74 nucleotides) under Rhodococcus phage Peregrin. RNAcentral describes it as "tRNA-Lys". It matches the Rfam family "tRNA". Rfam says of the family: Transfer RNA (tRNA) molecules are approximately 80 nucleotides in length. The record is from RNAcentral. Lineage: Duplodnaviria; Heunggongvirae; Uroviricota; Caudoviricetes.
GGUGCAUUAGCUCAGUUGGUAGAGCUGGACGCUCUUAACGUCUAGGUCGGGGGUUCAAGUCCCUCAUGCAUCAC